Hypanus sabinus (Atlantic stingray) is the source of this 799-nucleotide long non-coding RNA. RefSeq lists it as uncharacterized. The transcript is spliced from 2 exons. The record is from RefSeq and is a predicted model, not a curated record. Lineage: Eukaryota; Metazoa; Chordata; Chondrichthyes; Myliobatiformes; Dasyatidae.
AUACAAAUGUGAACAGCCUAGUCAAAUAGCGAGCCCAGACACAUGCAAAGAAAUUUAAAAUUUUCUAAAGAAAGAAUAAAAGCACAGUUGUCUCACAAAGCUACAUAUUUCUAAGCAGACAAGGAAUUUAGCAAAUUACUGCAACAAGCUCCAGCUUCCGCAUUACUUAUGGGAGAUCACAGUUUUGAUAAAGCCACAAUUGGAUAAGCAUCUUAGAUAAAGAAAAACUCUCCUUCAAUUUCAUUAGAAGCUCUUGUAUGUAACGCACAAACCACUUUAGUUUACUUCUGAGCAAUGAUCACAUGCUACUAACAGGCAAGUAUUAGUGGAAGUGCAGAGUGAAGACAAAAAACUGUUGCAGUAACAGUUCUUGUCAACAGGGGGAUCUCACUAGAUGUGGUCUUAUGGAUUCAUUACGUAUUUGUGGAGUCAACUUUUGUUCUUACAGAGGUGUAUGUCAGCCAUAGCUCAGAAGUAGCUCCCUCACCUCUGAACAAGAUCGGCAUAAGUUCAACUCCCACUUUAGGGAAACUUAUAAUAUCAACAGUCCCAGCACAGUGCAGAAGGAGUACUACACUGCUGGAGAUGCUGUCUUUCAGGUGUUGACAGAGUUGAAUUCACCUGGGCCCGUGGAGCGUAAUCCUGAUGCAAAUUAAAGCUGGUGGAAAGAUUCUGAUGAAUUAGGAUGGAAGUUGCUUCCUUCAAAAUAAAGUAGCACACUUACUUUUUUAGUAUGUACUUAAGACAGAGCAAUGAUAUUUGUAUUUUUAAAUAACACAAAUAAAAGUGUUUCACAGAU